GGCGGCCCAGGACGAGGAGAAGGCAGCAUUUCACGUUGAGAGAAACCGCCGGGCGCUGGCGAUUGCCGCCGGGCGGUGGCAUGGGAAACCCCCGGGCGGUGGCAUGGGAAACCCCCGGGCGGUGGCGGCAGGAUGUGGCAAACCGCCGGGCGGCACACUCAAACUGCCUGACGGUGGCACGCUAGACUUGGGCCUGAUUUUGACGCGCUCCUCACCUAUAAAUACC
Molecule: long non-coding RNA, 226 nt
Filed under: Vigna radiata
Lineage: Eukaryota; Viridiplantae; Streptophyta; Magnoliopsida; Fabales; Fabaceae
Description: long non-coding RNA (VRAD_LNC002128)
Source: RNAcentral